Molecule: long non-coding RNA, 760 nt
Organism: Cyprinodon tularosa
Lineage: Eukaryota; Metazoa; Chordata; Actinopteri; Cyprinodontiformes; Cyprinodontidae
Exons: 3
Source: RefSeq, a predicted model, not a curated record
GUGAAGCAAAUCCAGUCUGUUCCAAUUAUGAAUCAGAGCACUUUACUCCACUUAAGUGCAUUACGCCCUAAUCAGUGCAUGGUUGUACUUGUUAGUGCAUGACCGCUCAUAUUCAUGCAAAGUUCUGGCAGGAGGCGUACAGCUGAUGGAAGUGAGGAAAUGACCAUAAAAGGAUUUGCUUCAGCAGCUCUGGGCAGGGAACCAUGGCCUGAUCUGCGCUAAGCCCUGGACUCUAAAUCCCUCUCAGACGCUCAGUAAUGCGCUCGGUGUGGGACCACACUGAGGUCAUGUCACUCAUCUGAGCCCAGACCACAGCUUGGUGUCUGACGGAGGGAUCUUCUCCUACCCCCCCCUAAUCAUCCUCUUUCAUUUCUUCCCUACCACUGACUCUCAGCUCGGGUCACUAUCUAACCUUCCGCACUCAUCCUCUCUGCUGCCAGGCGAGAGAUUAUCGAUCAGCUGUUGGUAGAGUUGUCUUUUUCCAGCUUUUAAUUAGGAUUGAAGGAGCUUCAGCAGGACGACUAAAUCUGUACAUUUCAUUUCAUGUUGUCCCUGAGCAUUUUCCCAUCCAUACAUACAAAGUCACUUUUAUUGAGGAUGUGCAAAUGUGAAAUAACAAUUUAAGAAAUAUGUUUCAUAGCCACAUUGGGAGGACCAUACAUUUUUACUUUUUAAUGAAAACUAAUAUAACCAAGGAACAUGCAAAAAGCAUUCUUUAAACAAUGUUUGUUUUAUUAAUAACAAAAAUCUAUCCAAAAUA